GUGCCAGCAGCCGCGGUAAUACGUAGGGGGCAAGCGUUGUCCGGAAUGAUUGGGCGUAAAGGGCGCGUAGGCGGCCCGGUAAGUCUGAAGUGAAAGUCCUGGUUUUAAGCUGGGAAUUGCUUUGGAUACUGUCGGGCUUGAGUGCAGGAGAGGUAAGUGGAAUUCCCAGUGUAGCGGUGAAAUGCGUAGAGAUUGGGAGGAACACCAGUGGCGAAGGCGACUUACUGGACUGUAACUGACGCUGAGGCGCGAAAGUGUGGGGAGCAAACAGGAUUAGAUACCCUGGUAGUCCACACUGUAAACGAUGAAUGCUAGGUGUAGGGGGUAUCGACCCCUUCUGUGCCGCAGUUAACACAAUAAGCAUUCCGCCUGGGGAGUACGGCCGCAAGGUUGAAACUCAAAGGGAUUGACGGGGGCCCGCACAAGCAGCGGAGCAUGUGGAUUAAUUCGACGCAACGCGAAGAACCUUACCAGGUCUUGACAUCCAGUAAAACUUGUAGAGAUACAUCGUGUCUUCGGACGUACUGAGACAGGUGGUGCAUGGUUGUCGUCAGCUCGUGUCGUGAGAUGUUGGGUUAAGUCCCGCAACGAGCGCAACCCUUAUUUUCAGUUACUAACACGCAGUGGUGAGGACUCUGAAGAGACUGCCGGGGACAACUCGGAGGAAGGUGGGGACGACGUCAAAUCAUCAUGCCCCUUAUGACCUGGGCUUCACACGUGCUACAAUGGCCACCACAGAGAGGAGCGAACCUGCAAGGGGGAGCGGAUCUCAAAAAAGUGGUCCCAGUUCGGAUUGUGGGCUGCAACCCGCCCACAUGAAGUCGGAGUUGCUAGUAAUCGCGGAUCAGCAUGCCGCGGUGAAUACGUUCCCGGGCCUUGUACACACCGCCCGU
Molecule: ribosomal RNA, 893 nt
Filed under: uncultured bacterium
Lineage: Bacteria
Description: bacterial SSU rRNA
Rfam family: Bacterial small subunit ribosomal RNA
Source: RNAcentral